CAAAGGAAGCGAUUCCGGCAACGGAUGGGCAUGCGUGACAUUAGCUAGUUGGCGGGGCAACGGCCCACCAAGGCGACGAUGUCUAGGGGUUCUGAGAGGAAGGUCCCCCACACUGGUACUGAGACACGGACCAGACUCCUACGGGAGGCAGCAGUGAGGAAUAUUGGUCAAUGGGCGCGAGCCUGAACCAGCCAAGUCGCGUGAGGGAUGACGGCCCUACGGGUUGUAAACCUCUUUUGUCGGGGAGCAAAUUCCGCCACGCGUGGCGGAGUCGAGAGUACCCGAAGAAAAAGCAUCGGCUAACUCCGUGCCAGCAGCCGCGGUAAUACGGAGGAUGCGAGCGUUAUCCGGAUUUAUUGGGUUUAAAGGGUGCGUAGGCGGACUGUCAAGUCAGCGGUAAAAUACGGGGGCUCAACCUCCGCCCGCCGUUGAAACUGACGGUCUUGAGUGGGCGAGAAGUAUGCGGAAUGCGUGGUGUAGCGGUGAAAUGCAUAGAUAUCACGCAGAACUCCGAUUGCGAAGGCAGCAUACCGGCGCCCAACUGACGCUGAAGCACGAAAGCGUGGGUAUCGAACAGGAUUAGAUACCCUGGUAGUCCACGCAGUAAACGAUGAAUACUAGCUGUCCGGGGCGAAUGAGCCCUGG
Molecule: ribosomal RNA, 645 nt
Filed under: uncultured bacterium
Lineage: Bacteria
Description: bacterial SSU rRNA
Rfam family: Bacterial small subunit ribosomal RNA
Source: RNAcentral